RNAcentral lists this non-coding RNA (45 nucleotides) under Schistosoma haematobium. The record is from RNAcentral. Lineage: Eukaryota; Metazoa; Platyhelminthes; Trematoda; Strigeidida; Schistosomatidae.
AUCCAGUUGUUGAAUCCUAAAUAAGACGAAACGCGUGUCCUGGAU